RNAcentral lists this ribosomal RNA (491 nucleotides) under uncultured bacterium. Its description in RNAcentral is "partial 16S ribosomal RNA". It matches the Rfam family "Bacterial small subunit ribosomal RNA", at positions 29 to 506 of the family's 1533-position model. The record is from RNAcentral.
AGUGAACGCUGGCGGUAGGCCUAACACAUGCAAGUCGAACGGCAGCGCAGUAAGAGCUUGCUCUUACGGGUGGCGAGUGGCGGACGGGUGAGGAAUACAUCGGAAUCUACUUUUUCGUGGGGGAUAACGUAGGGAAACUUACGCUAAUACCGCAUCCGACCUACGGGUGAAAGCAGGGGAUCUUCGGACCUUGCGCGAUUGAAUGAGCCGAUGUCGGAUUAGCUAGUUGGCGGGGUAAAGGCCCACCAAGGCGACGAUCCGUAGCUGGUCUGAGAGGAUGAUCAGCCACACUGGAACUGAGACACGGUCCAGACUCCUACGGGAGGCAGCAGUGGGGAAUAUUGGACAAUGGGCGCAAGCCUGAUCCAGCCAUACCGCGUGGGUGAAGAAGGCCUUCGGGUUGUAAAGCCCUUUUGUUGGGAAAGAAAAGCAGCAGGUUAAUACCCCGCUGUUCUGACGGUACCCAAAGAAUAAGCACCGGCUAACUUCGU